CCUACGGGGGGCAGCAGUGGGGAAUAUUGGACAAUGGGCGAAAGCCUGAUCCAGCCAUGCCGCGUGUGUGAAGAAGGCCUUCGGGUUGUAAAGCACUUUCAGUGGGGAAGAAAGCCUUGGGGCUAAUACCCUCGAGGAAGGACAUCACCCACAGAAGAAGCACCGGCUAACUCCGUGCCAGCAGCCGCGGUAAUACGGAGGGUGCGAGCGUUAAUCGGAAUUACUGGGCGUAAAGCGCGCGUAGGCGGUCUGAUAAGCCGGUUGUGAAAGCCCCGGGCUCAACCUGGGAACGGCAUCCGGAACUGUCAGGCUAGAGUGCAGGAGAGGAAGGUAGAAUUCCCGGUGUAGCGGUGAAAUGCGUAGAGAUCGGGAGGAAUACCAGUGGCGAAGGCGGCCUUCUGGACUGACACUGACGCUGAGGUGCGAAAGCGUGGGUAGCAAACAGGAUUAGAUACCUUGUAGU
RNAcentral lists this ribosomal RNA (463 nucleotides) under Vreelandella stevensii. Its description in RNAcentral is "partial 16S ribosomal RNA". It matches the Rfam family "Bacterial small subunit ribosomal RNA", at positions 338 to 794 of the family's 1533-position model. Lineage: Bacteria; Pseudomonadati; Pseudomonadota; Gammaproteobacteria; Oceanospirillales; Halomonadaceae. The record is from RNAcentral.